AUGGCCAUGGCAUUCUUCCUCCUUGCCGCGGCGGCGUCAGCGGCUGUCGCCGGAGCCUCCUGGAGCCCGCGGCCAGAGGGCGACCUCGUCACCGGGCUCCCUGGGCAACCAGAGGUCGGGUUCAAGCACUACGCCGGCUACGUCGACGUCGGAACGGGCGGCGACAAGGCGCUCUUCUACUGGUUCUUCGAGGCCGAGCAGGAGCCGGAGAAGAAGCCCCUCAUGCUGUGGCUCAACGGAGGGCCCGGGUGCUCGUCCAUCGCCUACGGCGCGGCCCAGGAGCUGGGCCCGUUCCUGGUCAGGGGCUACGGCGCGAACCUCACCCGCAACGCCUACGCGUGGAACAAAGCCGUGAACCUGCUGUUCCUGGAGGCGCCGGUGGGCGUGGGGUUCUCCUACACCAACAAGACGGCGGACCUGGGCCGCCUCGGCGACCGCGUGACGGCGCAGGACUCGUACACCUUCCUCCUCAACUGGCUCGCCAAGUUCCCGGAGUUCAAGGGCCGCGACUUCUACAUCGCCGGAGAGAGCUACGCCGGGCACUACGUCCCGCAGCUCGCAGAUCUCAUCUACGAGGGGAACAAAGCGGCGGGCAGAGGCAGCAUCAUCAACCUCAAAGGCUUCAUGAUUGGCAACGCGGUGCUGAACGACGAGACGGACCAGCUGGGCAUGGUGGAGUACGCGUGGAGCCACGCCAUCAUCUCCGACGAGCUGCACUCGGCGGUGACGCGGGAGUGCGACUCCUUCAAGGAGGAGGCCGACGGCGGCAGGCCCGGGAAGGGCUGCUCGUCGGCCGUCCGCGCCUUCAUGGGCGCCUUCGACGACAUCGACAUCUACAGCAUCUACACGCCGACGUGCCUCUCCCCCUCCGCCGGCUCCGCCUCCGCCGCGCCGCGCCCGUCCAGGCUCGUCACCGCGCCCCGCCUCUUCUCCCAGCACGAGGCAUGGCACAUGAUGAGGCGUGCGCCGGCGGGGUACGACCCGUGCACGGAGGCGUACGUGACCAGGUAUUUCAACCGCCAGGACGUGCAGCGGGCGCUGCACGCCAACCGGACGGGCCUCAAGUACCCAUACUCGCCUUGCAGCGCGGUGAUAAGCAAGUGGAACGACUCGCCGGCGACCGUACUCCCCGUCCUGAAGAAGCUCAUGGCCGCCGGGCUGCGCGUCUGGGUCUACAGCGGCGACACGGACGGGAGGGUGCCGGUGACGUCGACGCGGUACAGCGUCAACGCGAUGAAGCUGCGGGCGCGGGCGAGGAGCGGGUGGCGGGCGUGGUUCUACAGGCAGCAGGUAGCCGGGUGGGCGGUGGAGUACGAGGAGGGGCUGACGCUGGUGACGGUGCGCGGGGCGGGGCACCAGGUGCCGCUCUUCGCGCCCGACCGCUCGCUCGCCAUGCUCUACCACUUCCUCCGGGGCCAGCCCCUGCCGGCCGCCGCUCCACGCUAG
Molecule: ribosomal RNA, 1446 nt
Filed under: Triticum aestivum (bread wheat)
Lineage: Eukaryota; Viridiplantae; Streptophyta; Magnoliopsida; Poales; Poaceae
Description: partial small subunit ribosomal RNA
Source: RNAcentral